UAGGGAAUCUUCCACAAUGGACGAAAGUCUGAUGGAGCAACGCCGCGUGAGUGAAGAAGGAUUUCGGUUCGUAAAACUCUGUUGUAAGGGAAGAACAAGUACAGUAGUAACUGGCUGUACCUUGACGGUACCUUAUUAGAAAGCCACGGCUAACUACGUGCCAGCAGCCGCGUUAAUACGUAGGUGGCAAGCGUUGUCCGGAAUUAUUGGGCGUAAAGCGCGAGCAGGCGGUCCUUUAAGUCUGAUGUGAAAGCCCACGGCUCAACCGUGGAGGGUAAUUGGAAACUGGGGGACUUGAGUGCAGAAGAGGAAAGUGGAAUUCCAAGUGUAGCGGUGAAAUGCGUAGAGAUGUGGAGGAACACCAGUGGCGAAGGCGACUUUCUGGUCUGUAACUGACGCUGAGGCGCGAAAGCGUGGGGAGCAAACAGG
This 429-nucleotide ribosomal RNA is filed under the name bacterium. Its description in RNAcentral is "partial 16S ribosomal RNA". It matches the Rfam family "Bacterial small subunit ribosomal RNA", at positions 355 to 776 of the family's 1533-position model. The record is from RNAcentral.